GAUCUCAGGUGUGUUGUGUGGAGUUGUGAAGUGUCAGAGUUUGAAGGAGGCUUACGAAUCUUGGCCUCGGGACUCCCCAGCCCUGUUCCCAUUUGCACAGUGCCACAAGGAGCCCAGAGAGGCUGGGCCCUGGUGAGCUCCUGGCAGCUCUGUUGGGGUGCAGUUGUGAACAUGAUCCACCCAUUUUAAGUGUGUGUGGCCCACAGGAUUUUGAUGCAUGACAGAGUUUGCACUCCCCAUCUUAAUUCUAGAACAUUGUCAUGACCUUCCAAGGGACCUCAUUCCCAUGAAUGGCCACCUGCUGUCCCUCCCCCUGGCCUUUGGCCAUCACAUACUGACUUUGUUUUUGGAUUGGCCUUUUGGGGGCCACCCUCUGCCAAGGGAGCCCUGCACUCGGUGUUAGUCUGUGUCAUGUCCCCCGCGCCCCCCUUUGACUCUGGAUUCUGUCUGGGACAGAGCUCAGGUGUGUUUCCACAGGGUGGCCAUCUGUAGCAGCUGCUCUGGAAGCUCAGUCUCAGGAUCUGUCUGCCAGCUGGGUCCUGCAGAGGCUGCUGUCCUUGCCCAGUGCAUACCCCUGGGGAAGAGCAAGGCCUCGUAGAGCACCGUCAC
Molecule: long non-coding RNA, 609 nt
Filed under: Marmota monax (woodchuck)
Lineage: Eukaryota; Metazoa; Chordata; Mammalia; Rodentia; Sciuridae
Source: RNAcentral